Small nuclear RNA from Pyrus x bretschneideri (Chinese white pear), 194 nucleotides. RefSeq annotates it as U2 spliceosomal RNA. The transcript has a single exon. NCBI's taxonomy places the organism in Eukaryota, Viridiplantae, Streptophyta, Magnoliopsida, Rosales, Rosaceae. The record is from RefSeq and is a predicted model, not a curated record.
AUACCUUUUUCAGCCUUUUGGCUAAGAUCAAGUGUAGCAUUUGUUUGUAUUAGUUUAAUUUUGAUACGUAAACCAAUGGUUCAUAUGAUAUUAAAUUAAUUUUUUGUAGGGUAAGAUUAUUAUAAUAGCUUGCUAUUAGGCUUAUUGAGUGUUGCCCAAGUGUUGCACCAUAGCAUGGGCUCGGCGUACCCCAC